GAUGAACGCUGGCGGCGUGCCUAAUACAUGCAAGUCGAGCGAACAGACGAUGAGCUUGCUCCUCUGACGUUAGCGGCGGACGGGUGAGUAACACGUGGAUAACCUACUUAUAAGACUGGGAUAACUUCGGGAAACCGGAGCUACUACCGGAUAAUAUAUUGAACCGCAUGGUUCAAUAGUGAAAGACGGUUUUGCUGUCACUUAUAGAUGGAUCCGCGCCGCAUUAGCUAGUUGGUAAGGUAACGGCUUACCAAGGCAACGAUGCGUAGCCGACCUGAGAGGGUGAUCGGCCACACUGGAACUGAGACACGGUCCAGACUCCUACGGGAGGCAGCAGUAGGGAAUCUUCCGCAAUGGGCGAAAGCUUGACGGAGCAACGCCGCGUGAGUGAUGAAGGUCUUCGGAUCGUAAAACUCUGUUAUUAGGGAAGAACAAAUGUGUAAGUAACUAUGCACGUCUUGACGGUACCUAAUCAGAAAGCCACGGCUAACUACGUG
Molecule: ribosomal RNA, 497 nt
Filed under: uncultured bacterium
Lineage: Bacteria
Description: partial 16S ribosomal RNA
Rfam family: Bacterial small subunit ribosomal RNA
Source: RNAcentral